This 305-nucleotide unclassified non-coding RNA is filed under the name Hevea brasiliensis (rubber tree). The record is from RNAcentral. Lineage: Eukaryota; Viridiplantae; Streptophyta; Magnoliopsida; Malpighiales; Euphorbiaceae.
GCCACUUUUCCAAAAGAGAUUCAGGUUAUUUUUCUUCAUUGACAGGCUCUUUUUUGAUCCAUCAAUUAUUUCCCUUGAUAUCAAUUUAUUUAAUAACUCCAUUAUCCUGUGGAAUUUGUUGCUUCUGACUACAAACUGGUUUGGGUUCCUCCUCAUGGAUGAGCAACAUUGUGGCGACCUUUCAAUAUCACUACAAAUUCUCGUGCUGCUUGCUCUUCUAGAAUAAGAAAGGAUCUCUUAUUUUCCUCUAAUUUUUGGAUGUAUAUUACUUGAUUAAAGCAUAGGAAAGAGCGCCUUGGUAGUGU